This 253-nucleotide ribosomal RNA is filed under the name uncultured bacterium. RNAcentral describes it as "partial 16S ribosomal RNA". It matches the Rfam family "Bacterial small subunit ribosomal RNA", at positions 524 to 776 of the family's 1533-position model. The record is from RNAcentral.
UACGUAGGGGGCAAGCGUUGUCCGGAUUUAUUGGGCGUAAAGCGCUCGCAGGUGGUUCGUUGCGUCGUGCGUGAAAGACCCCGGCUCAACUGGGGAGGGUCGUGCGAUACGGGCGAACUGGAGGCCAGUAGGGGGAUGCGGAAUUCCGGGUGUAGUGGUGGAAUGCGUAGAGGUCCGGAGGAACACCAGCGGCGAAGGCGGCAUCCUGGACUGGUCCUGACACUCAUGAGCGAAAGCGUGGGGAGCGAACAGG